ACUGCACCUAGGGGCAUUGCAGGUGUGGCUGCUAUGCCACAUGUGUGUCAGUAGGUGGCAGAGGAGAGAGACUGACCUGUGAACAUC
Molecule: small nucleolar RNA, 87 nt
Organism: Rattus norvegicus (Norway rat)
Lineage: Eukaryota; Metazoa; Chordata; Mammalia; Rodentia; Muridae
Product: small nucleolar RNA SNORA17
Source: Ensembl